GAUGAACGCUGGCGGCGUGCCUAAUACAUGCAAGUCGAGCGAACGGACGAGAAGCUUGCUUCUCUGAUGUUAGCGGCGGACGGGUGAGUAACACGUGGAUAACCUACCUAUAAGACUGGGAUAACUUCGGGAAACCGGAGCUAAUACCGGAUAAUAUUUUGAACCGCAUGGUUCAAAAGUGAAAGACGGUCUUGCUGUCACUUAUAGAUGGAUCCGCGCUGCAUUAGCUAGUUGGUAAGGUAACGGCUUACCAAGGCAACGAUGCAUAGCCGACCUGAGAGGGGGAUCGGCCACACUGGAACUGAGACACGGUCCAGACUCCUACGGGAGGCAGCAGUCGGGAAUCUUCCGCAAUGGGCGAAAGCCUGACGGAGCAACGCCGCGUGAGUGAUGAAGGUCUUCGGAUCGUAAAACUCUGUUAUUAGGGAAGAACAUAUGUGUACGUAACUGUGCACAUCUUGACGGUACCUAAUCAGAAAGCCACGGCUAACUACGUG
Molecule: ribosomal RNA, 497 nt
Filed under: uncultured bacterium
Lineage: Bacteria
Description: partial 16S ribosomal RNA
Rfam family: Bacterial small subunit ribosomal RNA
Source: RNAcentral